RNAcentral lists this ribosomal RNA (493 nucleotides) under uncultured bacterium. Its description in RNAcentral is "bacterial SSU rRNA". It matches the Rfam family "Bacterial small subunit ribosomal RNA", at positions 31 to 507 of the family's 1533-position model. The record is from RNAcentral.
GAACGCUGGCGGCGUGCCUAAUACAUGCAAGUAGAACGCUGAAGGAGGAGCUUGCUUCUCUGGAUGAGUUGCGAACGGGUGAGUAACGCGUAGGUAACCUGCCUGGUAGCGGGGGAUAACUAUUGGAAACGAUAGCUAAUACCGCAUAAUAGUAGUUGUUGCAUGACAACUGUUUGAAAAGGUGCAAUUGCAUCACUACCAGAUGGACCUGCGUUGUAUUAGCUAGUUGGUGGGGUAACGGCUCACCAAGGCGACGAUACAUAGCCGACCUGAGAGGGUGAUCGGCCACACUGGGACUGAGACACGGCCCAGACUCCUACGGGAGGCAGCAGUAGGGAAUCUUCGGCAAUGGACGGAAGUCUGACCGAGCAACGCCGCGUGAGUGAAGAAGGUUUUCGGAUCGUAAAGCUCUGUUGUAAGAGAAGAACGAGUGUGAGAGUGGAAAGUUCACACUGUGACGGUAUCUUACCAGAAAGGGACGGCUAACUACGUG